Molecule: ribosomal RNA, 420 nt
Filed under: uncultured bacterium
Lineage: Bacteria
Description: bacterial SSU rRNA
Rfam family: Bacterial small subunit ribosomal RNA
Source: RNAcentral
GUACGCUGGCGGCACGCCUAACACAUGCAAGUCGAACGAAGUAGCAAUACUUAGUGGCAGACGGGUGAGUAACAUGUGGGUAUCCGCCCUUUGGCCUGGAAUAACACGAGGAAACUUGUGCUAAUACCGGAUAAGUCUUUACGGAGAAAGCUUUAUGCACCAUUGGAUGAGCCCGCACUUGAUUAGUUUGUUGGUGGGGUAAUGGCCUACCAAGACUGUGAUCAAUAGCUGAUUUGAGAGGAUGAUCAGCCACAUUGGGACUGAGACACGGCCCAAACUCCUACGGGAGGCAGCAGUGGGGAAUCUUGCACAAUGGAGGAAACUCUGAUGCAGCGAUGCCGCGUGAGUGAAGAAGGCCCUUGGGUUGUAAAGCUCUUUCGUCGGGGAAGAAAAUGACUGUACCCGAAUAAGAAGGUCCGG